GACGAACGCUGGCGGCGUGCUUAACACAUGCAAGUCGAACGGAAAGGCCCUGCUUUUGUGGGGUGCUCGAGUGGCGAACGGGUGAGUAACACGUGAGUAACCUGCCCUUGACUUUGGGAUAACUUCAGGAAACUGGGGCUAAUACCGGAUAGGAGCUCCUGCUGCAUGGUGGGGGUUGGAAAGUUUCGGCGGUUGGGGAUGGACUCGCGGCUUAUCAGCUUGUUGGUGGGGUAGUGGCUUACCAAGGCUUUGACGGGUAGCCGGCCUGAGAGGGUGACCGGCCACAUUGGGACUGAGAUACGGCGCAGACGCCUACGGGAGGCAGCAGUGGGGAAUAUUGCACAAUGGGCGGAAGCGUGAUGCAGAAACGCCGCGUGCGGGAUGACGGCCUUCGGGUUGUAAACCGCUUUCGCCUGUGACGAAGCGUGAGUGACGGUAAUGGGUAAAGAAGCACCGGCUAACUACGUG
RNAcentral lists this ribosomal RNA (468 nucleotides) under uncultured bacterium. RNAcentral describes it as "partial 16S ribosomal RNA". It matches the Rfam family "Bacterial small subunit ribosomal RNA", at positions 28 to 507 of the family's 1533-position model. The record is from RNAcentral.